UUGAUCAUUUACAGUUUCUUGGCUGUUUAAUAUUGUGAAGAAGGUGAAUUCUUGAAUUGGGUUUUAGGAAUUUAGGUGAGUCAUUUUGAUCAUUUUCCAUUUUUUUUGGGUAUUUGUAUUGUGAAAAAGGUGAAAUCUUGACAUUGGAUUGUAAUUGAGUCAUUUGAUCAUUUCCACUUUUAUAGUGAAAAGGGUGAAUUUUUGAUGUUGGGUUUUUAGGAAUUUAGGUGAUUCAUUUGAUCAUUUUCACUUAACUAGUUAUAUAGUUAACAAGGUGAAUUGUUGAUGUUGGGUUUUAGGUGAUUCAUUUGAUCAUUUCAACUUUCUUAGCUAUUUAUAUAAUGAAAAGGUGAAUUCUUGAUGUUGGGUUUUAGGUGAUUCAUUUGAUCAUUUUCACUUUAUUAUUGGCUAUUUAUAUUUUAUAUAGUGAAAAAGGUGAAUUCUUGAUGUUGAUUAUCAGGUGAUUCAUGUGAUCAUUUCCACUUUUUGACUAUUUGUAUUGUGAAAAAGAGUGAGUUAUUGUUAUUGGGUUUUUAGUUUAAAGGGUUUUUGGCAGUAGUGCUGGACUGCUGGUGGUAUUGGGGUUCAUUUCAUAGCUAUAUGCCAAAAACAAAGAAAAAAUUGGGUUUUUGGAGGAAUCUGUGAUUUGUUUUUAUAUGUGGUUCUUGCAAUUGGGAAGUCAUUUUCUAAUUGUUUUAUGGACAAUUUUAUUUAGCAAUUCAUGGUGUUAUUUUCUUGGUUAUGUAUUUUGGUGUUAGUACUUUAAUGGUCAUUCACUAAAAAAGUAUUCUUUUUUUACUUACCUCAGGGUAAUUUAGCUCUUACUGUGUGAUAUCUGCUUCAAAAUUAUCUUACUUGCACAUCUGAAUUAAUAAUAUGUAAAGAUUUUUGGUGAUUGUAAGGACUUCAAAACUAUAUUUCUUCUUUUCAAUGCUUUUAGAUAAUGGUUAAGUGUUAAAGAAAGGAUCUUUUUUGAUGCUGAAUAGUUUUCCUUAUUUCCAGUUUGGUGCUCUUUUAUGUUAGUUUUAAUCGUGAGGAAAAA
This is a non-coding RNA of Nicotiana tabacum (common tobacco), 1042 nucleotides long. The record is from RefSeq and is a predicted model, not a curated record. NCBI's taxonomy places the organism in Eukaryota, Viridiplantae, Streptophyta, Magnoliopsida, Solanales, Solanaceae.